Molecule: ribosomal RNA, 984 nt
Filed under: human gut metagenome
Description: bacterial LSU rRNA
Rfam family: Bacterial large subunit ribosomal RNA
Source: RNAcentral
CGGUCCUAAGGUAGCGAAAUUCCUUGUCGGGUAAGUUCCGACCUGCACGAAUGGCGUAAUGAUGGCCAGGCUGUCUCCACCCGAGACUCAGUGAAAUUGAACUCGCUGUGAAGAUGCAGUGUACCCGCGGCAAGACGGAAAGACCCCGUGAACCUUUACUAUAGCUUGACACUGAACAUUGAGCCUUGAUGUGUAGGAUAGGUGGGAGGCUUAGAAGUGUGGACGCCAGUCUGCAUGGAGCCGACCUUGAAAUACCACCCUUUAAUGUUUGAUGUUCUAACGUUGACCCGUAAUCCGGGUUGCGGACAGUGUCUGGUGGGUAGUUUGACUGGGGCGGUCUCCUCCUAAAGAGUAACGGAGGAGCACGAAGGUUGGCUAAUCCUGGUCGGACAUCAGGAGGUUAGUGCAAUGGCAUAAGCCAGCUUGACUGCGAGCGUGACGGCGCGAGCAGGUGCGAAAGCAGGUCAUAGUGAUCCGGUGGUUCUGAAUGGAAGGGCCAUCGCUCAACGGAUAAAAGGUACUCCGGGGAUAACAGGCUGAUACCGCCCAAGAGUUCAUAUCGACGGCGGUGUUUGGCACCUCGAUGUCGGCUCAUCACAUCCUGGGGCUGAAGUAGGUCCCAAGGGUAUGGCUGUUCGCCAUUUAAAGAGGUACGUGAGCUGGGUUUAAAACGUCGUGAGACAGUUUGGUCCCUAUCUGCCGUGGGCGCUGGAAGAUUGACGGGGGCUGCUCCUAGUACGAGAGGACCGGAGUGGACGCACCUCUGGUGUACCGGUUGUCACGCCAGUGGCAUCGCCGGGUAGCUAUGUGCGGAAGAGAUAACCGCUGAAAGCAUCUAAGCGGGAAACUUGCCUGAAGAUAAGUCUUCCCGGAGGCUGGACCUCCCUGAAGAGUCGUUCGAGACCAGGACGUUGAUAGGUCGGGUGUGUAAGCGUUGUGAGACGUUUAGCUAACCGAUACUAAUUGCUCGUGAGGCUUGAUCCU